AGAGUUUGAUCCUGGCUCAGAACGAACGCUGGCGGCACGCUUCAUACAUGCAAGUCGAACGAUUAAAGCCCCUUCGGGGGUAUAUAAAGUGGCGAACGGGUGAGUAACAGGUGGAUAAUCUACCUUUCGGUGGGGGACAACGGUUGGAAACGACCGCUAAUACCGCAUACGAUCGCUAGAACUUCGGUUUAGGCGAGGAAAGGGGCUUUUGCUCCGCCGAAUGAUGAGUCCGCCUCCCAUUAGCUAGUUGGUGUGAUAACAGCGCACCAAGGCGACGAUGGGUAGCCGAGCUGAGAGGUUGAUCGGCCACACUGGAACUGAGACACGGUCCAGACACCUACGGGUGGCAGCAGUAGGGAAUAUUGCGCAAUGGGCGAAAGCUUGACGCAGCGAUGCCGCGUGGAUGAUGAAGGCCUUCGGGUCGUAAAGUCCUUUUCUGAGGGAAGAAAAAGCCGGGGAGUGGAAAGCCCCGGCCCUGACGGUACCUCAGGAAUAAGCAACGGCUAACUCCGUGCCAGCAGCCGCGGUAAUACGGAGGUUGCGAGCGCUGUUCGGAUUUACUGGGCGUAAAGGGAGCGCANGCGGCUUGUUCAGUCU
This 597-nucleotide ribosomal RNA is filed under the name uncultured bacterium. RNAcentral's name for it is "bacterial SSU rRNA". It matches the Rfam family "Bacterial small subunit ribosomal RNA", at positions 8 to 590 of the family's 1533-position model. The record is from RNAcentral.